This 253-nucleotide ribosomal RNA is filed under the name uncultured bacterium. Its description in RNAcentral is "partial 16S ribosomal RNA". It matches the Rfam family "Bacterial small subunit ribosomal RNA", at positions 524 to 776 of the family's 1533-position model. The record is from RNAcentral.
UACGGAGGGUGCAAGCGUUAAUCGGAAUGACUGGGCGUAAAGCGCACGCAGGCGGUCUGUUAAGUUGGAUGUGAAAUCCCCGGGCUUAACCUGGGAACUGCAUUCAAAACUGACAGGCUAGAGUCUCGUAGAGGGGGGUAGAAUUCCAGGUGUAGCGGUGAAAUGCGUAGAGAUCUGGAGGAAUACCGGUGGCGAAGGCGGCCCCCUGGACGAAGACUGACGCUCAGGUGCGAAAGCGUGGGGAGCAAACAGG